UUAUGGCAUGAAAGGAAAGAAGGCCAUUAUUCCUUUUGAUUAGGGUGGAAAAGGUCUUCUUGGCCUUUACAAUACAUAUGCAAUUAAGAUUUUGCUAUCUAUUCUGUAACUUCCCACAAUGUCAACACAAACACCUGACUAUUUUU
Molecule: small nuclear RNA, 146 nt
Organism: Sarcophilus harrisii (Tasmanian devil)
Lineage: Eukaryota; Metazoa; Chordata; Mammalia; Dasyuromorphia; Dasyuridae
Source: Ensembl